This 301-nucleotide ribosomal RNA is filed under the name uncultured bacterium. RNAcentral describes it as "partial 16S ribosomal RNA". It matches the Rfam family "Bacterial small subunit ribosomal RNA", at positions 509 to 807 of the family's 1533-position model. The record is from RNAcentral.
CAGUAGCCGCGGGAAAACGGAGGGUGCAAGCGUUAAUCGGAAUUACUGGGCGUAAAGCGCACGCAGGCGGUCUGACAAGUCAGAUGUGAAAUCCCCGGGCUUAACCUGGGAACUGCAUUUGAAACUGUCAGGCUGGAGUCUUGUAGAGGGGGUUGGAAUUCCAGGUGUAGCGGUGAAAUGCGUAGAGAUCUGGAGGAAUACCGGUGGCGAAGGCGGCCCCCUGGACAAAGACUGACGCUCAGGUGCGAAAGCGUGGGGAGCAAACAGGAUUAGAUACCCCUGUAGUCCCUGUCUCUUAUAC